RNAcentral lists this ribosomal RNA (674 nucleotides) under uncultured Russulaceae. RNAcentral describes it as "eukaryotic LSU rRNA". The stretch from base 223 to 376 matches the Rfam family "5.8S ribosomal RNA". The record is from RNAcentral. Lineage: Eukaryota; Fungi; Basidiomycota; Agaricomycetes; Russulales; Russulaceae.
GUGGACUGCGAUAAGUUCAUUACAGGAACGUCGACACGAGUUGUUGCUGGCCCCUCGAAGGGGGGCACGUGCACGCUCUGUUUACACAUCCACCCACACCUGUGCACCCUCUGUAGUUCUGUGGCGUGAGAGACCCUGUCUCUCUGCCGUGGUUCUGCGUCUUUAUACACACCCUGUAGUGAAGUCUUAUGGAAUGUGUGCCGCGUUUAACGCAAUAAAUACAACUUUCAGCAACGGAUCUCUUGGCUCUCGCAUCGAUGAAGAACGCAGCGAAAUGCGAUACGUAAUGUGAAUUGCAGAAUUCAGUGAAUCAUCGAAUCUUUGAACGCACCUUGCGCCCCUUGGCAUUCCAAGGGGCACACCCGUUUGAGUGUCGUGAAAUUCUCAAAACCCCUUCCUUUGCCGGAAUGGAUUUUGGACUUGGAGGCCUUUUGCUGGUUUCACCUCGAAGCCAGCUCCUCCUAAAUGGAUUAGUGGGGUCUGCUUUGCCGAUCCUUGACGUGAUAAGAUGCUUUUACGUCUCGGGUUAUUGGCACUGUGCCUCUGCUUCUAACCGUCUCUUUUGACAACGAUGGUGUUCCGGUCACCGCCGAUUCUUCGGUGGGAGGCUUGACCCACAAAACGACCUCGACCUCAAAUCGGGUGAGACUACCCGCUGAACUUAAGCAUAUCAU